ACACAGAAAUCUGAAGCAGGCUCCAGGCUCUGAAGUGUCAGCACAGAGCCCAACGUGGGGCUCAAACUCACAAACCGUGAGAUCAUGACCUGAUCCAAAGUCAGAUGCUUAACCGACUGAGUCACGCAGGCACCCUUAAAUUUUUUACUUUUUAAAAAAUGGUUACAAUAAAAAGUUUCAGAUUAUGCUAAAUUACUCUUUAAAAGCAUUCUGCAAUUUUAAUUCCCACUGAUCCAUUUCCCCAUAUUUAUAUCAACACUGGAUACUCCUAGUUUUUUUUUUUUUUCAGUUUAUAAUUGGCAUUAAAAAAUGAAAUGGCAUAGCAUUGUUAUUUAUACUUAAAAUUUGCAUUUCCUUAGUUAAGCACCUUACAUAUAUUUAUUGCCUAUUUAUAUUUUUCUGUGUGCUAUUUAUGGCCUUUACCCAUUUUCCUAUAAGAUACUGAACAUUUCCUUAUUGGUUCAUAUGAAUUUUGUGUAUUAAAGCAAUAGGCUCAUUAUUAUGUCUAUUCCUAAUAUUUCUAACUUUACAGAUGACACCCUUUGAUAUACAGAUUUAAAUAUUUCAGUAGUCACACGCCAGUCUUUAGUUCACUGCUUUUGAGUUUUAUGUCUUGUUUCCUCAAUCUAAAAGUCUUCAAGUAUUAUAGCAUUUUUUUUAACUUUUCCCUCAUAUUUUUACAUUUGACUUUUUUUUUAAUGUUUAUUUAUUUUUGACAGAGAGAGAGCGAGAGAGAGAGCAUGAGUGGGGGAGGGACGGAGAGAGAGGGAGACACAGAAUCCAAAGCAAGCUCCAGGCUCUGAGCUGUCAGCACACAGCCCGACAUGGGGCUCCAACUCAUGGACCGCGAGAUUAUGACCUGAGCCGAAGUCGGAUGCUCAACUGACUGAGCCACCCAAUGUAUUUAUUUUUGAGAGAGAGAGUGACAGCAUGUGCAUGAGCAGGGAAGGGGCAGAGAGAGAGGGGGACAGAAGAUCCAAAGCAGGCUCUGUGCUGACAGCAGUGAGCCUGACAUGGGGCUCGAACUCAUGAACUGUGAGAUCAUGACCUGAGCUGAAGCUGGACACUUAACUGAGUCACCUAGGUGCCCCAUUUAUCAACUUUUCUAUUCCUGUAUUAUCACACAAUUUAGUUUAAAUUAUUGUUUUGACAACUAUUUUUUGUGCUUGUUCCUUUUUCUUUUUUGCUAUUCCUAAGCAGUCCUUGUACUUACACAUGAACUUUAGUAUCAGCCUAGAAACUCUGCAGUUUUUUUCUACAUAAUUGAAAUCAUACUGCAUAUGUAAUGUUAUAUGUUCUCUAUCUUGAGUAUUUCUCAUUAUCAGUAAAUAUUCUUCAAGCAAUACCAUUUUCAUGACUGUAAAAUAUUCCACUGUAUGGAUAGCACUUGUAUUUCAACUGAUUCUUAAUUGUCCAUAAUAAUGAUACUGUCUUGACUAGGUAAUUUACUAUGACUGUUGUUAAAUUCUUUCAAGAGUUAUCCGUUUCUUACCAUGAGUUUCCAAAUCCUGAACCAGUGCAUGGGUAUCAAACGUUAAUUUCCUUUGUUCUAAAGGAGUUAGGUCCACUCGCCUCAUAUCAUAUCCUUCCUUGGUUGUGGUGGUGAAAAAGUCUGAAAAGAGAAGACAGGGUUUUUUCCUUGUAGGAACUAACACAAAUGUGCCACUUUAGCUUCUCAAGCAUUUCUCUCAUCUAUUUACAAUACAGUUCUAGCUCUUCUACUUAGGAAUUCUGUAAUUUCAAGGAAGAAGACGGGUUCCUCUGAGCCUUGGACUCUUUUAUCUGAAAAGUGUCUAAAAGUACUCUGUACACGGCAAACAUUCAAUAAAUGCUUCCUUUCCUUCUUUCA
Molecule: long non-coding RNA, 1849 nt
Organism: Neofelis nebulosa (Clouded leopard)
Lineage: Eukaryota; Metazoa; Chordata; Mammalia; Carnivora; Felidae
Exons: 2
Source: RefSeq, a predicted model, not a curated record